This 207-nucleotide ribosomal RNA is filed under the name uncultured bacterium. RNAcentral's name for it is "partial 16S ribosomal RNA". It matches the Rfam family "Bacterial small subunit ribosomal RNA", at positions 568 to 774 of the family's 1533-position model. The record is from RNAcentral.
CGCGUAGGCGGCCGAUCAAGUCGGAGGUGAAAUCCCUCGGCUCAACUGAGGAAUUGCCUUCGAUACUGUUCGGCUUGAGUCCUGGAGAGGGUAGCGGAAUUCCCGGUGUAGCGGUGAAAUGCGUAGAGACCGGGAAGAACACCAGUGGCGAAGGCGGCUACCUGGACAGGUACUGACGCUGAAGCGCGAAAGCUAGGGGAGCAAACA